AGGGCAGCGGGCCCAGUGGGGCCCUUCACGCAGCUGGAGGGAGGAGUACAUGAUGUCUGAGCUGAAUCAUCAAAGAUGAGUCAAGGUUUCAAGGGGAGACAAGUUCCAGGUGAUGCCAAUGCUGCUGGUCUGGGACCACCCUCUGAGCAUGACCCGCCAGGAAGAACAAAGAGGACUCAGAGCUGGGGAGGUUAAGAGGAGACCUCACACUGAGCAAGGCCCUGAAGACCUGUGUCACUAAGUAAGGAAGCCUGGACCAGCCUGCUGGAACAUGAGAUCGUGUAGAACACACAAGAGCUCUCCACUGAGGGUCCCUACACCAACCAGCUCCCAGUGGAGCUACCAGAUGACUGCAACAACAGAGUGACCCCAGGUGAGGAAGAGCACCACCUCCACACACCUUCACUCCCAUAUGCCUGCCCUAAGAA
RNAcentral lists this long non-coding RNA (428 nucleotides) under Equus caballus (horse). Its description in RNAcentral is "lncRNA (ENSECAG00000057911.1)". Lineage: Eukaryota; Metazoa; Chordata; Mammalia; Perissodactyla; Equidae. The record is from RNAcentral.